This 402-nucleotide ribosomal RNA is filed under the name uncultured bacterium. RNAcentral describes it as "bacterial SSU rRNA". It matches the Rfam family "Bacterial small subunit ribosomal RNA", at positions 355 to 774 of the family's 1533-position model. The record is from RNAcentral.
UGGGGAAUCUUGGACAAUGGGCGCAAGCCUGAUCCAGCCAUGCCGCGUGAGUGAAGAAGGCCUUAGGGUUGUAAAGCUCUUUUGCCAGGGACGAUAAUGACGGUACCUGGAGAAUAAGCCCCGGCAAACUUCGUGCCAGCAGCCGCGGUAAUACGAAGGGGGCUAGCGUUGUUCGGAUUUACUGGGCGUAAAGCGCACGUAGGCGGGUCGUUAAGUCAGGGGUGAAAUCCCGGAGCUCAACUCCGGAACUGCCUUUGAUACUGGCGACCUUGAGGCUGGAAGAGGUUAGUGGAAUGCCCAGUGUAGAGGUGAAAUUCGUAGAUAUUGGGAAGAACACCAGUGGCGAAGGCGGCUAACUGGUCCAGAUCUGACGCUGAGGUGCGAAAGCGUGGGGAGCAAACA